GUUUUCUGCUCCUUAUGAGAAUCUAAGGCCUGAUGAUCUGAGGUGCUGGCAACACAUGACCUGGUGGGCAUUGCUGGCUUGCUCCAGAGACUUAAUCCCUGUAAACUGCUGCUCACCUGGGCACAUGGCUAUGACUAAAUCGCCCCUCUGACGCACUAAUGAAUGGAAACAGCAGAAUCAUCACUCUCUUCCUUUCAAAAAUGAGGCAAGCCUAGACACAAGCAGAGAAUACUGACACCCUGAAGAUUAAAUACAAUGUCCACCUAUUUCCCAAUUAAGGUGACCACUCACAAAAUAGAACCACAGCAGCCCCAGACCUGGCCUCUCAGGCAAGCGGGGCUGACCCUCCCACCCCGCUCUCCCUGCUGCCCCUCAUCUCUCGGAAACUGUACAUUUCCAUCAAGCUGGAGACCUCUCUUCUCUCCUGAUGGUGUCAUCAAGUGCUAUAAUGUACACGUAUCGUAUUUGCCAGGGAUCGCUUAGCAACAGAACCCUGUGUUCUGCCAAUUUGCUUUUCAUGCUGACAACCUAGAUUUCACAGAAGUUGUGUUUUCUAGAAGGCUUUACAGACCGGAAAGGGUGACAAAGGGAUGUCUCAUCGCAGAUGCAGACAGAGACUGGCCCUGGCCGCCCCUGUUUAUGAUUUCUGGGGAUAUUUUAGAUGCUAUAAUGGCACACUAUUCAAAAACAAUUUAUUUUUAAUCUCCGGCUAUUAAUCACAGUAGAUUGACGUCAGUUAGCUCAUAAAGCUGAGGAUAUAAAGUGCUGUAUUUGUGAAGAAAUAUCAACUUGAUUUUAGCCACAAACAUUAAAAGCUAGCAUAAAACUAAUAUAUUGCCAAUGGGGUGUUCAUAGUGCAUUAGCGAUGUCUGCUCACCUUGCAAAAAAUGUUAUUUUAUUGGAGAAACAUUCAUUUUGAGAACUUAGACUUUUCCUGUGGGGUAAAGGGGACAGCAUAGAAUCUGAGGUGAUUUUAUCUUUGUCCUUCCACUUGUCUUUACUCAUGCUGUGUGGGGAGAGGAGGCAAAUAAU
RNAcentral lists this long non-coding RNA (1032 nucleotides) under Homo sapiens (human). RNAcentral describes it as "HSALNT0206699". The record is from RNAcentral. Lineage: Eukaryota; Metazoa; Chordata; Mammalia; Primates; Hominidae.